Molecule: long non-coding RNA, 910 nt
Filed under: Mytilus galloprovincialis (Mediterranean mussel)
Lineage: Eukaryota; Metazoa; Mollusca; Bivalvia; Mytilida; Mytilidae
Source: RNAcentral
GUUUAGUCUUUAGUUUUCUAUGUUGUGUUGUGUGUACUAUUGUUUGUUUGUCUGUUAUUUUUUGUUUCUUUUUAAACCAUGGCUUUGUCAGUUUAUUUUCGAUUUAUGAGUUUGAAUGUUCCUCUUUCAUCUUUCGUAUAUCUUUUACUUAUUGUUAUGGCUUGUUUUUGUUUUUAAAGACCGAAUAGUGGCAUUAAGAAUAGCUGAAUGCUAAAGAUAGUGGAGGGACGAUUAGGUUCAGUCGAAGAAAACCUAACAAUAGCAUGGCACCCUAAGAAAUUAAAGCAGGGGUUGUAAAUUAGGAAAACACAUAAUCUGCCGUUUUACACCAAAUGAGGAUUAAAAUACUUUUUCAUAUUUUGGUGUUGGACGAAAUGCAUUUUAUAUAUAAUAUUACAAAUAAAAUAAAUACCUCUUUUGUCAUUUUAAUGCAUCCAAUUCCAAGUGGGAAUCAAACAGCAUCCUGUAAUGUUCUUUUAUAUGUGGAUGAGUGGGACGUCAAUCCAGCAAUUUAUUGUGUGUAUAGAUGUUAAAGGUAUGAGUAUAUUUAUGUAUAAUUAAGCCACUUCUAAAAUUGACUAUUUAAAAAAGAAAAAGAAAAUCCACUCUCAGUUUCCCCUGAAAUAGUGACUUAAUGCUACACAUUAAAACAAUUUAUAUCAUUGAAACAAAACUUAUACUUCAGUUAAUAUAAACAAAACAGUUUCUUUUUAUUGUAUAUCAACUUUUGGUGGUUAGGGGUACACUUUUGUUCUCCAAAUGUAGUAUUGUAUUAUUCCUGGACUGUAUAAUAAAAAUACUCAUAAUUUUUAUUGAGCCAGAACCACUUUUCUGGAACAUCUUAAUUCCUGAUAGUUUUUGAAUUUAUCAACGAAAAAUUUAGGAAAGAUGUAUUUUACAUAUAAAUAUC